CUGCCUUCUGGGCCAGCCCCCGCCCCGCCCCUCGCCCCGCCCCCCGGCCCCGCCCCGGCCCCGCCCUGCCCUGGCUUGCUGGGCUGUCCGGAGAGGAUGGCACUUUCCCUGGGCCUCGGCUUCCGCAUCUGCCAAAGGAAGUCCGGAUUCUCCAGCACCACUGCUUUACGUGGCUGCGGUUAAAGUACGGCGGGCUGCAGCCGAGGGGCUUUGGUGGCCAUCAACAGAAACCACCGCAGGCCAGCAGCAGCCGAGGGGGUCUUCACUGGAAAACUGUCAGCCUGGCGAGGCCCGUGUGCCUGCCUGGCGGACCACGAGAAGUCUGGCCUGCGCCUCCUAGGCUGCAGGCGGUCCUCGCUUGUCCAGGCCGAGGUGCUGGUGCCACAGGAGGCCCGGCCGGGGCCACCCGGUGGGGACGCGGCUGCAGGCUGGGUAUCAGCCUGUUGUUUCCACCCAGGACCACAAGCCCGCGACCACACUCUGCGUUCAUGCCGCCCCUCUUCUGCGUGGAGCAUCUUCUACUAAGUUGUGUUUCUUGGUUGCAGUAACAGUUGACUACCGGCGACGUGGCCUCUCUUUCCGGCCUCUUGGUUCCUGGAAGGUGUGGUCACCCCCACUGAUUGCUUUCUGCCUGCCUUGCAAAGAAACGCUGGACGAGCGCCCAAGAAAUGUGAUUGCUGUUCUUUAGGGAAAGUAGCUCGGAUAUCGCUGCUCUGGGUCAUUGAGCACGAACUCGUGCUCUCCCCACCCUUCUUUGGAAUAAGUUGGGGUUCUCCGGCCGGAUCUCCACGGGGCCUGUCCCUCCUGGCUGGUUUGGCAGGUGCACAGAAGCCCCCCCUCUGGUGUGGCAUUCACCCCUUGGUGCUAGCCAUAGAAAUAAGACCCUUGGAGGGUCCUGCCGUCACAAGGCUCUGAGUCCAGAAGGGGAGACAGACGAGAAGAACCGGGUGGUCCCGACACAGGGAGGUCACACGUGCUGGGCCCGCGGGUGGCGGCACGCAGAGAGGCCCCUGCCCACGGAACACGGUGGCAAGGAGCCCUCCGAGUGGGGACAGCGCCCACAGGCGGUGUCUCAGGCCUCACGACCCAGCUGGGUGGGCUUGCCCUCGUGACCUCGGUGUCAGGUGUGGCUUCCCAGCCCCCUCGCCCAGCCCUUCGCCUUCUGUCCGGGGGGCGGUGAACGCAGGCGGCCUGGAAGCCGAGCUUUUCAUCAGAUGACUUUUAUGUCAUUUUCAAAAAACUGAUGAGCGCCUCCUGGCCGGGUCCCGGUUUGCGAAAGGAGGCUGUGAUUAGGGAUGUGAAUAAAUUGUAAUACACAGAUAA
Long non-coding RNA from Felis catus (domestic cat), 1323 nucleotides. RefSeq lists it as uncharacterized. Lineage: Eukaryota; Metazoa; Chordata; Mammalia; Carnivora; Felidae. The record is from RefSeq and is a predicted model, not a curated record. The transcript is spliced from 2 exons.